This 459-nucleotide ribosomal RNA is filed under the name uncultured bacterium. Its description in RNAcentral is "partial 16S ribosomal RNA". It matches the Rfam family "Bacterial small subunit ribosomal RNA", at positions 339 to 795 of the family's 1533-position model. The record is from RNAcentral.
CUACGGGACGCACCAGUGAGGAAUAUUGGUCAAUGGGCGCAAGCCUGAACCAGCCAAGUAGCGUGAAGGAUGACUGCCCUCUGGGUUGUAAACUUCUUUUAUAGGGGAAUAAAGUGCGCCACGUGUGGCGUUUUGUAUGUACCCUACGAAUAAGGACCGGCUAACUCCGUGCCAGCAGCCGCGGUAAUACGGAGGGUCCGAGCGUUAUCCGGAUUUAUUGGGUUUAAAGGGUGCGCAGGCGGGAUGAUAAGUCAGUUGUGAAAGUUGGACGCUCAACGUUCAAAUUGCAAUUGAAACUGUCACUCUUGAGUGCAGUGGAGGUAAGUGGAAUUCGUGGUGUAGCGGUGAAAUGCUUAGAUAUCACGAAGAACUCCGAUUGCGAAGGCAACUUGCUAUACUGCAACUGACGCUCAUGCACGAAGGUGUGGGUAUCAAACAGGAUUAGAUACCCGCGUAGUC